AACGAACGCUGGCGGCGUGCUUAGCACAUGCAAGUCGAGCGGUAAGGCCCUUUCGGGGGUACACGAGCGGCGAACGGGUGAGUAACACGUGGGUGACCUGCCUUUAGCUCUGGGAUAAGCCUGGGAAACUGGGUCUAAUACCGGAUACGACUCCGCGGUGCAUGCUGUGGGGUGGAAAGCCUUGUGCGGCUGGAGAUGGGCCCGCGGCCUAUCAGCUUGUUGGUGGGGUGAUGGCCACCAAGGCGACGACGGGUAGCCGGCCUGAGAGGGCGACCGGCCACACUGGGACUGAGACACGGCCCAGACUCCUACGGGAGGCAGCAGUGGGGAAUCUUGCGCAAUGCGCGAAAGCGUGACGCAGCAACGCCGCGUGGGGAAGACGGCCUC
This 387-nucleotide ribosomal RNA is filed under the name uncultured bacterium. RNAcentral's name for it is "bacterial SSU rRNA". It matches the Rfam family "Bacterial small subunit ribosomal RNA", at positions 28 to 418 of the family's 1533-position model. The record is from RNAcentral.